UACGAAGGGGGCUAGCGUUGCUCGGAAUCACUGGGCGUAAAGCGCACGUAGGCGGCUUUCUAAGUCAGGGGUGAAAUCCUGGAGCUCAACUCCAGAACUGCCUUUGAUACUGGAGAGCUAGAGUCCGGAAGAGGUGAGUGGAACUGCGAGUGUAGAGGUGAAAUUCGUAGAUAUUCGGAGGAACACCAGUGGCGAAGGCGGCUCACUGGUCCGGUACUGACGCUGAGGUGCGAAAGCGUGGGGAGCAAACAGG
RNAcentral lists this ribosomal RNA (253 nucleotides) under uncultured bacterium. RNAcentral describes it as "partial 16S ribosomal RNA". It matches the Rfam family "Bacterial small subunit ribosomal RNA", at positions 524 to 776 of the family's 1533-position model. The record is from RNAcentral.